This is a long non-coding RNA of Aplysia californica (California sea hare), 1175 nucleotides long. RefSeq lists it as uncharacterized. NCBI's taxonomy places the organism in Eukaryota, Metazoa, Mollusca, Gastropoda, Aplysiida, Aplysiidae. The record is from RefSeq and is a predicted model, not a curated record. The transcript has 3 exons.
UUGUGUUAGUAUCAGUUUGGGCAUAGUGGGCUCAGGCUGGUGUCUCCUCUCUCCUUGUUUACAGCCAUAUCUUACUUUGCUGUAUUUUGAAUGCAUCAAAUAAUGGGUCGUCACUUUUCAAUUUAUCGCGGAACGAAUAAUGAAUUGUGUAAGUGUUUCGGUUUGGAAGGCAGAAAAAUGACCAGAUUAUUGUCACCCUUUGGCCUAGAAUAACAAAGUUCGCGGCACCCUGAAUGUAGAAAGAUCUAGUUCUAGUUUGCAAUUCAAAGUGGCAAGAUGACGGCUAGACGGCUUGCCUAUGAGUAGCUAGCCGUACUUAAGUACAGCUAGCCUAGCCGUCUAGCCUUAUGCCUACUUAAGUACGGCUAGCCUGCCAGUCUAGCCGUACUAAGGUUAGGCCCUGUUGACUGAAACCUGUUUUGGCCCUGGUCAUAUCAUAGGUCGCAUCUGUUGGCCCCGGUCGUAUCAAAGGUCCCGUUUGGAGUGUGGACUUGUAGGCGUAAAGCCAAGUUUGAAGUUUCAUUUCUUCGACCUUGACUUGGCAUGAUUCAACAAUGGCUAUUACUGUCGGCAAGACGUUUUCAUCAUUUGAACUGUUGGAAAACGCAAUGGAAAAAUUGGCUGCUGAGACUGACACAGUUUUUAUACGUCAAGAUUUUGUCAAGCUCAGCCCAAAUGAGAGCUGUACUGAAAGAGGUCAGUGGGACUUGGUCAUUUGUUCUGACCAAGGUAAAGGUUGAUCAUGACACCUCUACUCCAUCAAAAGAGGCUCUCGCUGUAUUUUCCGAGACAAGAAAGACCUGGGAUAGAGCUUCUCCUGGGAUGUCCUAGUGUUUCGGCCCAGGACAUAGUCAAGGUUGUAAAAAUGGAACAAGGGAAGCAUGUCCUUACCAAGGAUGUCUAUAAUCUUCUCCAAAGGCAUCGGGGUCAUAAAUAAUCAGAUGCUUCUGAAGUAGAGUCCACUCUCCACGCUCCAUUCCAUUGUGUACGGUGGUGGAGUAGUAGAUUUCAGUGUGGACUCGCUGGGUCAUUUGAAGUAUCUGUCGUAUACUACUAAAGACAUGAUGGCACUGGCCAGUAAUUUUAGUGAGAUCCUCAUAAUGGACAUUACUUAUGACAAAUGUGAGGCAUUGUGGUGAAAUCAGGCGCUCGUCAAAACUAUAAAAUCAAAGAAA